UGGGGAAUAUUGGACAAUGGGCGAAAGCCUGAUCCAGCCAUGCCGCGUGUGUGAAGAAGGUUUUCGGAUUGUAAAGCACUUUAAGUUGGGAGGAAGGGCUGCAAGUUAAUACCUUGUAGUUUUGACGUUACCAACCGAAUAAGCACCGGCUAACUUCGUGCCAGCAGCCGCGGUAAUACGAAGGGUGCAAGCGUUAAUCGGAAUUACUGGGCGUAAAGCGCGCGUAGGUGGUUUGGUAAGAUGGAUGUGAAAUCCCCGGGCUCAACCUGGGAACUGCAUCCAUAACUGCCUGACUAGAGUACGGUAGAGGGUGGUGGAAUUUCCUGUGUAGCGGUGAAAUGCGUAGAUAUAGGAAGGAACACCAGUGGCGAAGGCGACCACCUGGACUGAUACUGACACUGAGGUGCGAAAGCGUGGGGAGCAAACA
Molecule: ribosomal RNA, 427 nt
Filed under: uncultured bacterium
Lineage: Bacteria
Description: bacterial SSU rRNA
Rfam family: Bacterial small subunit ribosomal RNA
Source: RNAcentral